This 515-nucleotide ribosomal RNA is filed under the name uncultured bacterium. RNAcentral describes it as "partial 16S ribosomal RNA". It matches the Rfam family "Bacterial small subunit ribosomal RNA", at positions 28 to 523 of the family's 1533-position model. The record is from RNAcentral.
GAUGAACGCUGGCGGCGUGCCUAAUACAUGCAAGUCGAGCGAAUGGAUUAAGAGCUUGCUCUUAUGAAGUUAGCGGCGGACGGGUGAGUAACACGUGGGUAACCUGCCCAUAAGACUGGGAUAACUCCGGGAAACCGGGGCUAAUACCGGAUAACAUUUUGAACCGCAUGGUUCGAAAUUGAAAGGCGGCUUCGGCUGUCACUUAUGGAUGGACCUGCGUCGCAUUAGCCAGUUGGGGGGGUAACGGCUCACCAAGGCAACGAUGCGUAGCCGACCUGAGAGGGUGAUCGGCCACACUGGGACUGAGACACGGCCCAGACUCCUACGGGAGGCAGCAGUAGGGAAUCUUCCGCAAUGGACGAAAGUCUGACGGAGCAACGCCGCGUGAGUGAUGAAGGCUUUCGGGUCGUAAAACUCUGUUGUUAGGGAAGAACAAGUGCUAGUUGAAUAAGCUGGCACCUUGACGGUACCUAACCAGAAAGCCACGGCUAACUACGUGCCAGCCGCCGCAGUAA